Long non-coding RNA from Callorhinchus milii (elephant shark), 1161 nucleotides. RefSeq annotates it as HCLS1 associated protein X-1. Lineage: Eukaryota; Metazoa; Chordata; Chondrichthyes; Chimaeriformes; Callorhinchidae. The record is from RefSeq and is a predicted model, not a curated record. The transcript is spliced from 7 exons.
GUCACCGGGAGGAAGUGGUCAAUCUGCUUUACGGUGGAAGGACAGUUGUGCGGCGUCGGUUUAAGCGGAUUUUCUAACGUGGAAAGUGGUCGCGCGGCGCCGCGGGAGGUGCGGAGGCGGUGGAUGAGUUUGUCCGACUUUCUCCGCGGGUUUCUCGGGCUCGGCUCCGGGGGAAGGAGGGAUCCGUUCUUCCGGACCGAGACUCGCGAGGAGGAGGAUGAUGAUGAGGAGGGGGGCGAUGAUGAUGAAGGCGGCUGCUUUGGGUCGGGGUUCGGUUUCGCGCCUGACGGGGUCUCGGGUUUUUUCCGGGAGAUGGACGACCUGUUCAGGGGGAUCGGGAGCUGGGACGUGCCCACAGGAGCCCUCGAGCUGCCGGGUGUGGAGGGUUACCCAGCGAGGGGGACUGAGGAGAGGAAGAGGAAGGGGCCACGUGACUGGAUGCUGAAGGAGCCGGACUCUGAGCCGUCAACCUCUGGGGGAGGGGCGCUGGGAGCGACCAAGAUAGACCCCAGGGACCAGCCCAGAGCAGAAGCAGCUCCAGCUCCUCCCUACACAUCACCCAGGGAUCCGUUCAGAAGGUUUGCUGAUAUGUGGAAGUUGUUCCCUUCCGGACGGGAAGACAGUGUGAAGGAAGAUCAGGAUUUGGACUCUGAGGUGACGUCAGAAGGAUUGGGGACGAUCCUGAGACCAACCGAGCCCCACACACGAUCUUUCUUCCGCAGCGUCUCAGUGUCAACAGUGACCCUCCCAGACGGGACAGUGGAAGAGCGCCGCACAGUGAGAGACAGUCAGGGGAACGAGAAAACUGAGGUAACAAGACGGAGAGGGGGUAUGUCUCACAGCGAGGAGUCACAGAGCCAAGCCAACGAAGGCGAUGUCCAGCCAUUCUCCCCGGAGUGGGAGCGAGAGACAGACAGCGAGAGGUUACAUGAUGUCUUCACUCUCUGGGACAGACUGUUCAAGGGGCUGUUUUCCAGUCGGUGAUUGGGGAGGGGGGGAGAUGGGGGGCAGGGAGUGGGGGGAGGUGUGGGUGGGGGAAGAUUACAGACCGUCAUCACAGCUACUAAUCACUCAACGCGUCAGUGUGUGAGAUUGCUCUCCCAGCCUUGUCUGCUCUCUCUCUCCCGCCUCUCUCUCUGUUUCUCCCUCUGACUGACUCUC